This 205-nucleotide ribosomal RNA is filed under the name uncultured bacterium. RNAcentral describes it as "partial 16S ribosomal RNA". It matches the Rfam family "Bacterial small subunit ribosomal RNA", at positions 568 to 774 of the family's 1533-position model. The record is from RNAcentral.
UGCGUAGGCCGCACGGUAAGUCAGAGGUGAAAUCCCGGAGCUCAACUCCGGAAUGGCCUCCGAUACUGCCGUGCUCGAGGACUGGAGAGGAGUCUGGAAUUCACAGUGGAGCAGUGAAAUGCGUAGAUAUUGUGAGGAACACUAGUGGCGAAGGCGAGACUCUGGACAGUUCCUGAGCUGAGGCACGAAGGCCAGGGAGCAAACG